Molecule: long non-coding RNA, 334 nt
Organism: Poecilia latipinna (sailfin molly)
Lineage: Eukaryota; Metazoa; Chordata; Actinopteri; Cyprinodontiformes; Poeciliidae
Exons: 2
Source: RefSeq, a predicted model, not a curated record
CAGUGUGGGACAGGAUUAACAUUCAGGGCUUGGGAAAGUCACUCCAGAGGACACUAUAGUUGUUUGUGUCUGAAUUUAUCUGAGGAUUUCAACCAGCAACCUUUAAAAUCCUCACGCUUCACCGGCACCACUUUGGUUGUACGUAUUAGUUGGAGACGACUGCAGAGUACUCCACAAGAUUUUAUUGACACUUUAAAAAGCUGGUUCACUGUGAUUGGAUGGCAGGAAGAAGCUGAGGAGCAGAGGUCAGAACUCACCCCAUCUUAUCCAAGAGCAAAAUGACCAGCAGCACAAGACUUCUGCAUUCAUAUAAAAGUUGACUAGGUGCAAAUCA